CUUCCUCAACUUGCUGGGGACAGAUGAAGUGGAUAUGUGAGUCAAUGCCGCCGGCUGUCAGUAUCUGGCCUUCACCGGCAAUUGCCUCGGUUCCCGGCCCGACAAUAAUCGUCACCCCAGGCUGUACAUCCGGAUUUCCGGCCUUGCCGAUGCCGAUGAUGCGUCCAUCCUUGAUUCCGAUAUCGGCUUUAACAACACCCCAGUGGUCAAGAAUCGUCGCAUUGGUAAUGACGACAUCUGCAACCUGUUCAGAAGUGAGCUGACACUGUCCCAUACCAUCACGGAU
This 286-nucleotide small RNA is filed under the name Solemya velum gill symbiont. Its description in RNAcentral is "5' ureB small RNA". It matches the Rfam family "5' ureB small RNA". The record is from Rfam by way of RNAcentral. Lineage: Bacteria; Pseudomonadati; Pseudomonadota; Gammaproteobacteria.